This 4661-nucleotide unclassified non-coding RNA is filed under the name Amphibalanus amphitrite. RNAcentral's name for it is "cUGBP Elav-like family member 3-B, transcript variant X8". Lineage: Eukaryota; Metazoa; Arthropoda; Thecostraca; Balanomorpha; Balanidae. The record is from RNAcentral.
UGCGCUCUGCCGCCAACCCGCCGCGCCGCGGCGCCACUCCGAUCAAUUAAACCGGCGGCCGGCGGCGGCGGCGGCGGCGGGGCGCCAGUGCCACGCCGGCAGCGCCCCGGGCAGUGUGACCGUGCUGUGGAUCGAACCAGUGCACGAUGCUGUACAACAUGGCGCCGCUGCCGGCGAGUCUGUCCGGCGGACUGCCCGUCAGUCUGGCCGGCGGCCUGUCGAGCCUCUCUGGCGGCCUGCCCGCCGGCCUGUCGGGGCUGCCGGGCGACCCGGCGCUGUUUGCGGCCUACCCGCAGCCGCCGCUGCUGACCGGCAAACUGGGCGACCCGGCCUCGGCGGCCGCGGCCGCGCCCAUCCCGCCGCCCCCGCCGCCACUGCCGCCCACCUGCCGCGAUCCGGACACUGUGAAGCUGUUCAUUGGCCAGAUCCCGCGGCAUCUCGAGGAGCGUGACCUGCGACCCAUGUUCGAGGAGUUCGGUGCCAUUUAUGAGCUGAGCGUGCUCAAGGACAAGUUCACCGGCAUGCAUAAAGGUUGUGCCUUUCUCACCUACUGUGCCAAGGAGAGCGCUGUGCUCGCGCAGAAGUCGCUGCAUGAGAAGCGCACACUGCCCGGGAUGAACCGGCCCAUUCAAGUGAAGCCAGCAGACAGCGAGAGCCGAGGAGAUAGCGCGAACGAAGACCGGAAACUCUUUAUUGGUAUGCUAAGCAAGCAACAGACUGAAGAAGACGUAAAGCAGCUUUUUCAGCCGUUCGGACCGAUUGAAGAGUGUACAAUUCUGCGCGGUGUCGACGGAGUCAGCAAAGGCUGUGCUUUUGUGAAGUUUUCGUCACACCAAGAAGCACAGGCGGCGAUCGAGAGCUUGCACGGUAGCCAAACGAUGCCCGGAGCAUCGUCCAGCCUGGUGGUCAAGUUCGCCGAUACUGAGAAAGAGCGCCAGUUGAGGAGGAUGCAGCAGAUGUCCGGCAACAUGGGAUUGCUCUCGCCGUUCGUCUUCAACCAGUUCGGCGCCUACGGCACAUACGCCCAGGUCGUGGACAAUCAGCAGGCGGCACUGAUGGCCGCCGCCCAGGGGAGCUACAUCAGCCCGAUGGCGGCGCUGGCGCACCUGCCGCACGGUACACUGCCCAGCGGCAUACCGAGUACGAUUGUACCCACCUCCACAGGCUCGGCCCCCUCCGGCAACGGGGUGCUGCCCAACAUGCCGUCACCGACCAUGUCGACGUUCAGUGUGGGCGCGCCGGCCUCGUCUCAGCCCCAGGUGGUGUCCGAGGCGGGCGUCUACACCAACGGGCUGCCGCAGUCCUACCCGGCCUGUGAGUACGUGCUGUCAUCACCGACUCCGAUCAGCGGGGAGGCGCUCCAGAGUCCGCCCUACCCGGGCAUGCCCUACUCCGGAGUCGCCGCCUUCCCCCAGCCCUAUCCCCCGAUCGUGGCCGCGCAGCCGCUGGUUCUGCCGCGUCAAGGGUGCAGUAUAAGCGGCCCGGAGGGCUGCAACCUCUUCAUCUACCACCUGCCGCAGGAGUUCGGCGACGCUGAGCUCAUGCAGAUGUUCCUGCCGUUCGGCAACGUCAUCUCCUCCAAGGUGUUCAUCGACCGUGCCACCAACCAGAGCAAGUGUUUCGGGUUCGUGAGUUUCGAUAACCCGGCGUCGGCACAGGCGGCCAUACAGGCCAUGAACGGCUUUCAGGUUGGCAUGAAGCGGCUCAAGGUGCAGCUGAAGCGGCCCAAGGACUCGUCCCGGCCCUACUAGCGGCGCAAGGUGGCCGUCCGCCGAGCCGCAGUCUCGGCAAACUAAUAAUGAAGCUCAAAUCCGGCUGUGAGACGUUUGCUGUUCUCGGGAGGCCGUCUGUUCGGCAGCGGUGGUAAGUCUGACGGCCGACCGUCGGCGCUGCUCCCCGCCGGUCUAGUCCCUGCCUGCGGUCGGCGCUCCAGCCGAGUCCUCGGGUCGAGCCGCUCCCUGGCACCGGCCAUUGGAUAGCCGAGCCGGCCUGUCCACGAGCCGGACACGCGCCUCACUCUCCGAGAACGACCAGUAGGCGGCGCUGCGAGUGAUUUAGAGUUGAAGGUGGCGCUAGCGUCGUCCACGGCCGGCCGCCGCCCGACCAGUCUUUAUACCGAGAGUAGUGCUGUAGCGCGGGCCGCCGCGCUCUUGAGCUGGACUUCCAGGCCUGGAGGCGGCGAGAGCGACUGCACAGCUGAUCGGCGGAACCUGCCAGCGAGGCGGCAGCGCUCGGCACUUAGAGAUGUAGCAGAUAUACCCAAUAUCUAUCGAGUAUUUAUUGAUAUAGACAUUACCCUGCGUAGAAUGGGCGAGCGAUGUAUGUGUGAAAGCUGACUCUGCUCGGUUAAGUUGGUGAGGUUAAAAAUUUACGCUAAGUUUUGGCCAGAGCUUUGUUAAAGGCCAGUUGUGGUUGCGAUGAUUGAAGUGUGUCUGCAUACAGAUAGAUAAUUAGGUACUAGUUAGUCCAUUAUUGGUACGGGCGCCAUGGUUGUAGGCACGCACACAAGAACAAAACACAAAUAUGAUGCUAGUCUUUAGGUGUUAAGGAAGAGCUGAAAACUCAGCGUAGUAUUGUAGAUCGUAGAGUUGUGAAUGAAGGGGUUGUUUGCGACUUUUACACAGUGCAUGAUGACUAGGUUUAAUGAUAAAGUGUGUAUAUAUCGUCUCCUAGAUUAUUUUCCGUCCGAUAAGCAUCUUAUUUUGAAGGUCACAUUUUGGCAGUGAGUUCGCUGCAUAUUAUUGUAUUGACAGCCUUAUUGGCUUCUUACGGUCGCAGAAAAAGUAUGUGACCCGCAAGGUGUUUAUUUGACGGCACUAAGUACGAUAAUUCCAGCAAAGCUAAGUACGUACUAAGUUUAUGAAAAGUCGCUUUUUGCACGAUAACUUUCCUGCAUAUCAGUAUGGUCUGAAUAUGUCAUGACCUUAAGUAGCCAUUCCAUGGGCUCUUUAAUUUUCGAAGACCAUUGGGGUGGCCAAACGGGGACGAGCACGGUUGAUGAUAUGACUAGGGAUAAACCGCCAAAUUUCAAAGACUUGGUUCUUGUUGAUGAUCUCGUGUAUGCUUAUACAGUCUGAAAAUCAAUGACUAAGAUAAUUGGGUGCCGUAAGGUGUCAAUUGUUACAAUAUUGUUACUUCAUACUAAUCACGUAUAGUUACUGGCCAAAAAGUCAUUGUGAAAACAACGUCUUUCAGCCGCUAGUCCACUGUUGUGUUUAACCGCUUGAUAAUUUGUUGUUUUGUACCUGAUCCUUGCUGUAUUUCUAUUUAUGUUUCAGUGUAUUUUGCCGGUUUUGUAAGUUCACCGUUCUGAUCUCCGUACUAGGCUGUCAGUUUGAUGUCACGUGGGGGGUAUUUAUUGUUUAUCGUAGACCUGUGUUAUAUUUAUGCGUAUUUUAUGCGCUAUGGAAGGUUUAUUUAGCACGUGUUCGUAGUAGCCAUAUUUACUUUGUACGUCCUUUAUGUCGCAUUUAUUCGGCUUACUAGGAUCUCCUAUUGCGGGCGAGAUGUAAUUCGUGUUUCUGAACAGCCACUGUUGACACUCUGUUUUGGUCGUGUUUAACAACUCUGCGUAGUGCUCAAAUAACGCUGGAGGCUUAGUACAGGGUGACCCGUCUGUUAUUAUUUAUUACCCUGAGCACAAGCGCCGGUUUUGUUUGAAGUGCAUGGAUGACUUAUCGCAGACACAGCCGAAUCUCUCCUGAUCUCGAAUCUCGGUCCCGCAGCUCUCCUUCAUAAGGACGUCGCGUCGCCGCCGUUGGCUUGUGUACAUAGUAGGUUAACUGGCUCCCGUCCUGCGGGGCGCUGGGACGCGGCGGUCCGCCGGCGCGGGGCAUUGACGCCGCCCCAGAGGAGCCGAGACCAGUAUCGGGCUCUGCGCAGCCCGCGGGGGGGGGGGAGUGCGUGUGUGAGGUCACACAGGGGGGGGGGGCAGGGAGCGAGCACCUGCGGGGGCUCGGCGGAGGCGCGCCGGUCAGCCGCACCCUCCUCUCUGGUCGGCAGGCACGGGACCACGCGCGUCUUACGGCCGGGCCCGCCCGAGAUGGGCCGAGCGUGUGAGAGCGCCGGCGACCGGCCCGCGCCGCCGGGCCCCCGCCAGUGAUAUUGCCUAGUUAUAGAGAUACUCCGCCGGCCGCUGCGGAGUGCCAUUAGUCUAAUGUAGAGCGGCGGUCACUGGUUGGCCCGGCCGCCGCCAGGUGGCAGCACCGCCGCGCGGCCCGCGCGCUGCGGCAGCACCUCUGCACCCGCGCUCCUCUGCCCCGGCGCCGCCUGGCGACCACAAGCAUAUCACAGUAGAGCAGCCGUCUCCGACCGAGCCCAACUGUCCUCAGAUCAAACGGUGGUCCUGUGCCCUCCUGGCGCCCUCCAGUCCCUCAGAGCGCCCUCCCGUCCCUCCGAGCGCCCUCCCGUCCCUCGCGCCGCUCCUCGCUCUCUCCUCGCCGACUCUCUGUCUCUCUCUGCGCCGGCAGCUGACCACCUCAUGACAGGGUAUUGAUGUGUGGUGAGUGACGAGGUCAGGUCGUGUCGGGCCGGCGCCGCUCGUCGCUCCGCACCCCACCGAUUGGUGACUGACUGACCGGCCAUCCACAGAUGCUGCGGCGGCCGCUUGCGUAUUGUAUAAAUACUCUUUAUAACAAAAUAUACUCGGCCAAGUGCAACAA